Molecule: non-coding RNA, 393 nt
Organism: Cinara cedri
Lineage: Eukaryota; Metazoa; Arthropoda; Insecta; Hemiptera; Aphididae
Source: the annotation of a GenBank genome assembly
AACAACUAUAACGUUUCUGCGUUUUUCUCUUAGUAAAUUUUCAUCAUAUUUACGAGAAGGUGGCUUUUUCGCGUAAUUGAACUAUAUAUAUAAAAAAAAAACAACCUGUCGGUAAUCCAAUCCCGUUGACCAUAUAUUACUGCAUCACCGCAGUACCGCCGUCCGUUACAUUACGGCAACGACAAAAUGGCCGAACAACGAUCAUGUCGGCCGCGGUGACGGUACUAAAACUGAUCGUUCCCCAGACCACUCCUGUCUUCCAGCCACCGUAUAGUGUUUCAUUCCUUAUCCGUUGUUUUGGUGACCGAAUCCAAUAAAGUCCAGGGAAAUCUUGUCUAGAUCGUAGGAAAAAAAAACGUACAGAAACCGUUGCAUUAUUCCGAACGAACAUUA